Molecule: long non-coding RNA, 743 nt
Filed under: Brassica rapa (field mustard)
Lineage: Eukaryota; Viridiplantae; Streptophyta; Magnoliopsida; Brassicales; Brassicaceae
Description: long non-coding RNA (BRAP_LNC001144)
Source: RNAcentral
UAAUACUUGUUAAAUGAUAGUAUAAUGUAAAUUACAUCCAUUAUUUAAAAAUAACCAUUUGUUGUUUUUAUUUAAAUCAGAAAUUAUUUUUAUUUAAAAACAUUAUCCAUAUAUAAUAUAAUAGUUUAAGUUUGGAAGAUUAAUCUAUAUAUAUAAAUUAUGUGUAUGUUUUAAAAAAUAAUUUAAGAUGUUAAACAUACCAUUUUUUUGCUCGAGUGCUUUGAAGCUUUCCUUGAUAGUGUGAGGUUGAUGUUGAUGGUAUAAUGGGUUUUAUAGAGACUUUCUUGAUGUAAAACUAUACUUUUUUUUUUAAUGUGAUAUUUCCAUUUUUAUAUAAUUUAUUACCAUUGUACAUUUUAAGAUAGAUGUUUAAAUCUUAAUAUACUUUUUUCAUUUUUUAAAAUGUUUAUUUCCAUUUCUUAUUUUUUUACGUAAUAUCUAUAUUUUAUAUUUUAAAAUAGAUAUUUAAAUCUUAAUGUACUUUUUCCAUUUUUUUAAAUUGUGUAUUUCCUUAUAUUAUAUAUUUACAUUUUAAGAUAGAUGAUUAAUGCUUAAUGAACUUUUUCCAUUUUUUAAAUUUUGUUGUGUAUUUACUUAUUAUUAUAUAUAUAAUUCAUAUAUUAUAUAUUUACAUUAUUUACUUAUUAUUUAUUUUCCUGUAUAUGUAUUUCUAUUUCUUGUACUUUUUAUUUACUUAAUAUCUCUAUUUUACAUUUUAAUAUAGAUGUUUAAAUCUUAAUGUA